GAAGAGAGUGUAAUUGGAGAACAGAAGAGGGAGUUUUGGGAAAAAAUGCAGAUAAGUUGAUUGGGGCAAAAUAUCUAGAGUUCUGGCUCUCUGAUUAGAAGCAUGUUUCUAAAAUAGUACCACUUCUCCUUCUUAUUUCUUAAAAUUUCUAUGAAUUUUUAUUUUAUUUUUUCAAAAAAAUUUCUUUUUAAAUUGGCACAUAAUUAUUGAACCCAGCCUCUUCUAUACUUUUUGAUGUGCAUUUUUGAUACUAUCUCCAUUUUCAUCAUAUUUGUUCUCAAGGUUUUUCAAGAUCCUUGUUUCCAAAUAACAUACUCAGCUUAUCAAGGCAAGAAGGUGAUCUCUGGAAUCAUAGAAUUAGUCCCAAUAACCAGGCUUCUACUAAAAGUCACAUAUCACUUAUCCGAAAGAUGCAGUUUAUCGGUCCUUUUACUCCAGGCGUCUGAGCAUUAUUGUGAACCAAGUAAGAGUAAGCAUGUGGUCUCACUUCCCUUUCUCUUCCCCCUGUUCAUUCAUUAAGUCAGUGAACAUUUGAUAGCCUAUUAUGUAUCAUAUACCAUGCUAGGCACUAGAGAUUCAAAGACUAAUAAAACAGAGUCCCUGUCCUAAUGGAGCUCAUUAUUUAGAAAAGAAGUUCAUUGACAUAAAAAAUGUGUGAUAGGGAUGAUGAGAACUAUGAUAAAGAUAAUACAGAAACCAAAGGGCAAGGAGCAAGGGAACUUGAUGGGAGUGUUUCAUAUACAAUCCCCUGUAAAGAAUUUAGAGUGACUUCUGGGUGAAUAGCAACAUCUAUUUCCUUUGGCUCUUAAAUCUACAUUUAAUCGACACCAAAAGAUCUCUUAUUGUUACUGAAAUCCUGAUGGACCCUUCUAAAUGAGGAAAUAACAAGAGUUCCUUGCCCUAUUGGAUAUCAAGGCAUUUUCUAUGCCUGUUUUAGUUUAUGACGUUUCUUAGUCCAUGUUAUUUUAGCUGAUCAAUGAGAUACUCUUACACCAUUUGCAUUGAUUGUCACACUGAAUCGAUCAUGAAGCCAGAUACCCUUACUUCGUUUAAUUUCAUUGUCAGAUUGGAUUGAUCAUAGAGAAGUUCAGUUAAAUGGCUGAUGAUCAGCCACAACAUGACUAUUUGUUCAAUAUUUUCUUAGGUAGCCUAGUAAUACAGACACUAUUACUAUACCAGUGGCAUUCAAGGGUAUAAAGCUGACAAUUUUUUCAUGUCCUCUGGUGGUGAUUCUUGUAAAUUAUUUCCACCAGUUGGUUAUGCAUGGCUGAGACUUGAAUAUGGAGAAAUCUCACCCAAAUGUACUUAACCUAGGAAAAUAAAUGAACGUCACAGUCAAUAGAAACGUGUGUAUCUAUGUGGAUGGGCUUAAAUGAGGAAGUAGAUAAUUGUGACCAGACUAAAACCAGAGGUUUGAAGAUAUCAGAAAGAAAGCAGAGCCAUACUGUUGGGGUGUGGUCGCUCAUGCCUGUAAUCCAAGCACCUUGGGAGACCCAGGUGGGCAGAUCACUUGAGGCCAGGAGUUCGAGAACAGUCUCGCCAACAUGGCAAAACCCAGUCUCUCCUAAAACUAUAAAAGUUAGCCAGGCGUGGUGGUGCACACUUGUAAUCCCAGCUAUGCAGGAGGCUAAGGCACAAGAAUUGCUUGAACCCGGGAGGUAGAGGUUGCAGCGAGACUGCACCACUACACUCCAGCCUAGGCAACAGAGCAAUACUCCAUCCCAAAAAAGAAAAGAAAGGAAAACAAAGAAAGAAAGCAGAACCAUACUAUAUGAUUAUUUAAAUGAACCACUGACAGUGGUUGGAUUUUUAUGUUCUCUCUAAUGCUGGAAACGUGAGAAGGAUAACUCUAGUUAAAUGACUAUGUAGACAAUACUGGUGACAGCUUCUAAAGCUGGUAACUCAGCUUAUGUCCCAUGCCUUCUUGGAAACCUUAAGCAUUCUUAUUGUGGAAAGAGUCCCAUAAAAUUUAAACAGUCAGUGCGGGUAAGCUAAACCUAAAUGCAACCAUUUUAUUUAUUCUUUUUGGCCUUUUAUGAGACCAAUUAUUUAUUUCAGCACACUUUCUUAUUCAGAGACAUUAUAAGGAUAUCAAAGU
RNAcentral lists this long non-coding RNA (2098 nucleotides) under Homo sapiens (human). RNAcentral's name for it is "non-protein coding lnc-APOB-14:1". Lineage: Eukaryota; Metazoa; Chordata; Mammalia; Primates; Hominidae. The record is from RNAcentral.